GUCUAUGUAGUAUAUUA
Molecule: transfer RNA, 17 nt
Filed under: Myotis velifer (mouse-eared bat)
Lineage: Eukaryota; Metazoa; Chordata; Mammalia; Chiroptera; Vespertilionidae
Also listed under: 1 other name
Description: partial tRNA-Thr
Source: RNAcentral